CCUACGGGAGGCUGCAGUGGGGAAUAUUGGACAAUGGGGGCAACCCUGAUCCAGCCAUGCCGCGUGUGUGAAGAAGGCCCUCGGGUUGUAAAGCACUUUCAGUGAGGAAGAACGCCUGGUGGUUAAUACCCAUCAGGAAAGACAUCACUCACAGAAGAAGCACCGGCUAACUCCGUGCCAGCAGCCGCGGUAAUACGGAGGGUGCGAGCGUUAAUCGGAAUUACUGGGCGUAAAGCGCGCGUAGGUGGCUUGAUAAGCCGGUUGUGAAAGCCCCGGGCUCAACCUGGGAACGGCAUCCGGAACUGUCAAGCUAGAGUGCAGGAGAGGAAGGUAGAAUUCCCGGUGCAGCGGUGAAAUGCGUAGAGAUCGGGAGGAAUACCAGUGGCGAAGGCGGCCUUCUGGACUGACACUGACACUGAGGUGCGAAAGCGUGGGUAGCAAACAGGAUUAGAUACCCGUGUAGUC
RNAcentral lists this ribosomal RNA (465 nucleotides) under Vreelandella stevensii. RNAcentral's name for it is "partial 16S ribosomal RNA". It matches the Rfam family "Bacterial small subunit ribosomal RNA", at positions 338 to 795 of the family's 1533-position model. The record is from RNAcentral. Lineage: Bacteria; Pseudomonadati; Pseudomonadota; Gammaproteobacteria; Oceanospirillales; Halomonadaceae.